RNAcentral lists this ribosomal RNA (1470 nucleotides) under metagenome. RNAcentral describes it as "bacterial SSU rRNA". It matches the Rfam family "Bacterial small subunit ribosomal RNA". The record is from RNAcentral.
AGAGUUUGAUCCUGGCUCAGGACGAACGCUGGCGGCACGCUUAACACAUGCAAGUCGAACGAGAGAAGAGGAGCUUGCUCUUCUGAUCUAGUGGCGGACGGGUGAGUAACACGUGAGCAAUCUGCCUUUCAGAGGGGGAUACCGAUUGGAAACGAUCGUCAAUACCGCAUAACAUAAUUGAACCGCAUGAUUUGAUUAUCAAAGAUUUAUCGCUGAAAGAUGAGCUCGCGUCUGAUUAGCUAGUUGGUAAGGUAACGGCUUACCAAGGCGACGAUCAGUAGCCGGACUGAGAGGUUGAUCGGCCACAUUGGGACUGAGACACGGCCCAGACUCCUACGGGAGGCAGCAGUGGGGAAUAUUGCACAAUGGAGGAAACUCUGAUGCAGCGAUGCCGCGUGAGGGAAGAAGGUUUUAGGAUUGUAAACCUCUGUCUUCAGGGACGAAAAAAGACGGUACCUGAGGAGGAAGCUCCGGCUAACUACGUGCCAGCAGCCGCGGUAAUACGUAGGGAGCGAGCGUUGUCCGGAAUUACUGGGUGUAAAGGGAGCGUAGGCGGGAUCGCAAGUCAGAUGUGAAAACUAUGGGCUUAACCCAUAAACUGCAUUUGAAACUGUGGUUCUUGAGUGAAGUAGAGGUAAGCGGAAUUCCUAGUGUAGCGGUGAAAUGCGUAGAUAUUAGGAGGAACAUCAGUGGCGAAGGCGGCUUACUGGGCUUUAACUGACGCUGAGGCUCGAAAGCGUGGGGAGCAAACAGGAUUAGAUACCCUGGUAGUCCACGCCGUAAACGAUGAUUACUAGGUGUGGGGGGACUGACCCCUUCCGUGCCGCAGCAAACGCAAUAAGUAAUCCACCUGGGGAGUACGACCGCAAGGUUGAAACUCAAAGGAAUUGACGGGGGCCCGCACAAGCAGUGGAGUAUGUGGAUUAAUUCGAAGCAACGCGAAGAACCCUACCAGGUCUUGACAUCGUAUGCAUAGCUCAGAGAUGAGUGAAAUCUCUUCGGAGACAUAUAGACAGGUGGUGCAUGGUUGUCGUCAGCUCGUGUCGUGAGAUGCUGGGUUAAGUCCCGCAACGAGCGCAACCCUUACUGUUAGUUGCUACGCAAGAGCACUCUAGCAGGACUGCCGUUGACAAAACGGAGGAAGGUGGGGAUGACGUCAAAUCAUCAUGCCCCUUAUGACCUGGGCCUCACACGUACUACAAUGGCUGUCAACAGAGGGAAGCAAAGCCGCGAGGUGGAGCGAACCCCUAAAAGCAGUCUUAGUUCGGAUUGUAGGCUGCAACUCGCCUACAUGAAGUCGGAAUUGCUAGUAAUCGCAGAUCAGCAUGCUGCGGUGAAUACGUUCCCGGGCCUUGUACACACCGCCCGUCACGCCAUGGGAGUCGGUAACACCCGAAGCCUGUAGUCUAACCGCAAGGAGGACGCAGUCGAAGGUGGGAUUGAUGACUGGGGUGAAGUCGUAACAAGGUA